GCCUCUGUAGCACAACUGAUAGUGCACUUGCCUUGUAAGCAAGGGGUUGCAGGUUUGAAUCCUGUCAGAGGCU
RNAcentral lists this transfer RNA (73 nucleotides) under Synechococcus phage S-CBWM1. It matches the Rfam family "tRNA". From Rfam's summary of the family: Transfer RNA (tRNA) molecules are approximately 80 nucleotides in length. Lineage: Duplodnaviria; Heunggongvirae; Uroviricota; Caudoviricetes. The record is from Rfam by way of RNAcentral.